GUGUCACCCUUAUAUACCUUGUAUUGUGUAUGGUGUUGUCAGGAAUUAAGAAGUCAUGAAGGUUGCUGUGAAAACUGAAGAGGUUGGACCUUCUGAAGAGAAUACAAUAGAAACUGUUGACAGCAAAACUGGGCUCAGUACUAUUUUUAAGAAUCCAGAUUUUAAGCACUCUGGGAAGACUGCAAACAAGAAGCGGGCUUGGCGUCCUCUGAAGCAGCUUAUUAGCAUCGAAAAAAGCCUGCCUUAUCCAGAACAGGCUGUUACGUACUGGAGCAUUGAGGCUCCACCAUCAUUUCUUCCUCCGAAGAAGUAUUCGGACAUCUCAGGCCUACCGGCAAAGUACACAGACCCCCACACAAAGCUACGGUACGCCAGUGCAGAGGAGUACAAAAUCAUCCAAAGCCUACCGGGCGACAUCGUAGCCGGCUACCUGGCUCUACGCAAGGCGUUCAACCCCGUCGGUUGACAUGGCUCGCGUCUUCGUGACGGUGGGGACAACGGAGUUCGACAAACUCGUGCGAACAGUGACAUCUACCGACGUGUUGAGCACUCUCAGUUCGCGCGGCUAUCGCGAGAUGGUGCUGCAGAUCGGUGCUGGGAAGACUGAGCCUCCCACGGGCACCUUCGAGGGAGUCGCGGUCCGCUGGUUUCGCUCCAAGCCGAGCAUUGCCGAAGACAUGGCGUCCGCUGACCUUGUGAUCGGUCACGCUGGGGCGGGGACGUGUCUGGAGGCGCUGCGGGCCGGCCGGCCGCUGGUGGUGGUCACCAACACGACCCUCAUGGACAACCACCAGGCCGAGCUGGCCGGCCGGCUGGCCGCCGACGGACACCUGCUGCACUGCGUCUGUGAGACGCUCAGAGACACACUGGCCGGGAUGGAGCUGUCUCAGCUGCGGCCGCUGCCGCCGGCCGACCCGACACCGUUCGCCGAGCACCUGGAGCGGAGACUGGGGCUGAGGUGAUGAUGAGACGGACUCGAGUGGUAAUGGAAAGUAGUCUGAGAGAAGUCAGCUCUGUGUGAACGCCUCUGAAAGCGAUUCAGCCUUACUGUAAGUCUGAGCGACGCAUACCGUGAUUGAGACGAAAAUGCAUACUAUUGACUACAAGCUGUCCCGGACUAGUUUUCAGCCAUGGAUUCUGGAACCCCUCUGAGACAAAGUGACGUUCGCCCCAGGCGGGCCCCGUCACCGUCCACCAGCGUCCGCCGCCGCCGACCGCCGACACGCAGGGCGUCACGCUCGACACAAUCAAUAAACAGGUGCGCGUGUCGCGUGUUUUGUGCCGUCAGCGCGGCCGUGCGGCGGCGGCGGACGGCGCGGGGCCGGUGUCGGUGUCGGCGCCCGUCCGGGGGUGGGCUCGACGUGUUUAUCCAGGCGUGGCUCGGUCGCGGGCUGUGGGACGGACGUGCACCAGGCGCCGCCUGCCACCCGCCGCGCCGCGGCGGCUCGCAUGCCGGCGCCGAUCCGGCCGCACGCCGUGUGCUGCUCUGUGAGCUGCCGCCGCCCGAGACGGGGUCAUGAUGGGGCCUGGGCGGGGCCGCUGCCGCCCGUGACCGCCUCCUGGGUGCCGCGGCGGCUGGCACGGCCGCCGGCGCGGUGAUGGGUGGGGCAGCGAGUGCCGUGACGGACAGCCGACUGGCCGUGAUGUACGGGCGUCACGCGGCCGACCAGUGACGUGACUGAGUGGCCCCGGAGAGACGGGAGGGGCUCUGUGGAGGGUGAAGCCGUCUGUGAUGAAUUGGAGAGGACUCCCCGGUGUGUCGAGUGAUCUCUGUUUAUGGCGUGUGGUGCAUUUUCCACGCGGGUUUGUGAUGCGUGGGGUGUCGUAUUAGAAAAGCGUUGAAAGCUCAGCUCUAUCGAGAUCCAUUGCCAUUCUCUGAUCGCCCGGUUCAUUGAUCCACUCUUUCUUUCUCAAAGGCGUCUCCCGACAUAUUACCACAAGUCUCCAGUUCCACUCUAACCUGACCGGUCCAACUGUCGGUGUCAGAACGUCCGUUGACAUGUUUUUAGUAACACCGCUUUAUUUUAGUAACACCGCUUUCCUAACAGUAUUGGCUGACGAAUGGUGAUUGAUACACUGUGACUCGUUUUUGAAGAGGCUGUCUGUGUUUGCGGGCGUUGGCCCUCACACCAGCUUCAGGACGGUAUUCUUGGCUGACCUCCCCUGACGCCUAAAGAAGGCCAGUUUUUGUGAGCUGUUGGGCUUGUCAGGAGUCAUGUUUUGUGCACGUCUUGAUGUAAACAAUAUAAGUCUGAACAAGGGA
Molecule: unclassified non-coding RNA, 2263 nt
Filed under: Amphibalanus amphitrite
Lineage: Eukaryota; Metazoa; Arthropoda; Thecostraca; Balanomorpha; Balanidae
Description: uDP-N-acetylglucosamine transferase subunit ALG13 homolog, transcript variant X1
Source: RNAcentral